AGUGGCGGACGGGUGAGUAACAUUUAGGAAUCUGCCUAGUAGUGGGGGAUAGCUCGGGGAAACUCGAAUUAAUACCGCAUACGACCUACGGGUGAAAGGGGGCGCAAGCUCUUGCUAUUAGAUGAGCCUAAAUCAGAUUAGCUAGUUGGUGGGGUAAAGGCCCACCAAGGCGACGAUCUGUAACUGGUCUGAGAGGAUGAUCAGUCACACCGGAACUGAGACACGGUCCGGACUCCUACGGGAGGCAGCAGUGGGGAAUAUUGGACAAUGGGGGCAACCCUGAUCCAGCCAUGCCGCGUGUGUGAAGAAGGCCUUUUGGUUGUAAAGCACUUUAAGCAGGGAGGAGAGGCUAAUGGUUAAUACCCAUUAGAUUAGACGUUACCUGCAGAAUAAGCACCGGCUAACUCUGUGCCAGCAGCCGCGGUAAUACAGAGGGUGCGAGCGUUAAUCGGAAUUACUGGGCGUAAAGCGAGUGUAGGUGGCUCAUUAAGUCACAUGUGAAAUCCCCGGGCUUAACCUGGGAACUGCAUGUGAUACUGGUGGUGCUAGAAUAUGUGAGAGGGAAGUAGAAUUCCAGGUGUAGCGGUGAAAUGCGUAGAGAUCUGGAGGAAUACCGAUGGCGAAGGCAGCUUCCUGGCAUAAUAUUGACACUGAGAUUCGAAAGCGUGGGUAGCAAACAGGAUUAGAUACCCUGGUAGUCCACGCCGUAAACGAUGUCUACUAGCCGUUGGGGUCCUUGAGACUUUAGUGGCGCAGUUAACGCGAUAAGUAGACCGCCUGGGGAGUACGGCCGCAAGGUUAAAACUCAAAUGAAUUGACGGGGGCCCGCACAAGCGGUGGAGCAUGUGGUUUAAUUCGAUGCAACGCGAAGAACCUUACCUGGUCUUGACAUAGUGAGAAUCCUGCAGAGAUGCGGGAGUGCCUUCGGGAAUUCACAUACAGGUGCUGCAUGGCUGUCGUCAGCUCGUGUCGUGAGAUGUUGGGUUAAGUCCCGCAACGAGCGCAACCCUUUUCCUUAUUUGCCAGCGGGUUAAGCCGGGAACUUUAAGGAUACUGCCAGUGACAAACUGGAGGAAGGCGGGGACGACGUCAAGUCAUCAUGGCCCUUACGACCAGGGCUACACACGUGCUACAAUGGUAGGUACAGAGGGUUGCUACACAGCGAUGUGAUGCUAAUCUCAAAAAGCCUAUCGUAGUCCGGAUUGGAGUCUGCAACUCGACUCCAUGAAGUCGGAAUCGCUAGUAAUCGCAGAUCAGAAUGCUGCGGUGAAUACGUUCCCGGGCCUUGUACACACCGCCCGUCACACC
This 1308-nucleotide ribosomal RNA is filed under the name Faucicola osloensis. RNAcentral's name for it is "bacterial SSU rRNA". It matches the Rfam family "Bacterial small subunit ribosomal RNA", at positions 94 to 1403 of the family's 1533-position model. The record is from RNAcentral. Lineage: Bacteria; Pseudomonadati; Pseudomonadota; Gammaproteobacteria; Moraxellales; Moraxellaceae.